AACGAACGCUGGCGGCAGGCCUAACACAUGCAAGUCGAACGGGUCCUUCGGGACUAGUGGCGGACGAGUGAGUAACGCGUGGGAACGUGCCCUUUGGUUCGGAAUAGCCCUGGGAAACUGGGAGUAAUACCGGAUGAGCCCUACGGGGGAAAGAUUUAUCGCCAAAGGAUCGGCCCGCGUUGGAUUAGGUAGUUGGUGGGGUAAUGGCCUACCAAGCCGACGAUCCAUAGCUGGUUUGAGAGGAUGAACAGCCACACUGGGACUGAGACACGGCCCAGACUCCUACGGGAGGCAGCAGUGGGGAAUCUUAGACAAUGGGGGAAACCCUGAUCUAGCCAUGCCGCGUGAUCGAUGAAGGCCUUAGGGUUGUAAAGAUCUUUCAGUGGGGAAGAUAAUGACGGUACCCACAGAAGAAGCCCCGGCUAACUCCGUGCCAGCCGCCGCCGUAA
RNAcentral lists this ribosomal RNA (449 nucleotides) under uncultured bacterium. RNAcentral's name for it is "partial 16S ribosomal RNA". It matches the Rfam family "Bacterial small subunit ribosomal RNA", at positions 29 to 523 of the family's 1533-position model. The record is from RNAcentral.